Small nuclear RNA from Hyaena hyaena (striped hyena), 102 nucleotides. The record is from RefSeq and is a predicted model, not a curated record. NCBI's taxonomy places the organism in Eukaryota, Metazoa, Chordata, Mammalia, Carnivora, Hyaenidae.
UUGCUCAGGCAGCAGCUAUACUAAAAUUGGAGUCAUCAGAUAAGACUAGCAUGGUCCCAGCACAAGGAUAACACGCAGAUUCGUGAAGUCUUCCGUGUUUUU